This 519-nucleotide ribosomal RNA is filed under the name uncultured Massilia sp. Its description in RNAcentral is "bacterial SSU rRNA". It matches the Rfam family "Bacterial small subunit ribosomal RNA", at positions 521 to 1039 of the family's 1533-position model. Lineage: Bacteria; Pseudomonadati; Pseudomonadota; Betaproteobacteria; Burkholderiales; Oxalobacteraceae. The record is from RNAcentral.
UAAUACGUAGGGUGCAAGCGUUAAUCGGAAUUACUGGGCGUAAAGCGUGCGCAGGCGGUUUUGUAAGUCUGACGUGAAAUCCCCGGGCUCAACCUGGGAAUUGCGUUGGAGACUGCAAGGCUGGAGUCUGGCAGAGGGGGGUAGAAUUCCACGUGUAGCAGUGAAGUGCGUAGAGAUGUGGAGGAACACCGAUGGCGAAGGCAGCCCCCUGGGUCAAGACUGACGCUCAUGCACGAAAGCGUGGGAGCAAACAGGAUUAGAUACCCUGGUAGUCCACGCCCUAAACGAUGUCUACUAGUUGUCGGGUUUUAAUUAACUUGGUAACGCAGCUAACGCGUGAAGUAGACCGCCUGGGGAGUACGGUCGCAAGAUUAAAACUCAAAGGAAUUGACGGGGACCCGCACAAGCGGUGGAUGAUGUGGAUUAAUUCGAUGCAACGCGAAAAACCUUACCUACCCUUGACAUGUCAGGAAUCCUCGAGAGAUCGGGGAGUGCCCGAAAGGGAACCUGAACACAGGU